GAAAUGCGAUAAUUAAUGUGAAUUGCAGAAUUCAGUGAAUCAUCGAGUCUUUGAACGCACAUUGCGCCCCCUGGUAUUCCGGGGGGCAUGCCUGUCCGAGCGUCAUUGCUGUCCUCAAGCACGGCUUGUGUGUUGGGCUUCCGUCCCUGGCAACGGGGACGGGCCCAAAAGGCAGUGGCGGCACCAUGUCUGGUCCUCGAGCGUAUGGGGCUUUGUCACCCGCUCCCGUAGGUCCAGCUGGCAGCUAGCCUCGCAACCAAUCUUUUUAACCAGGUUGACCUCGGAUCAGAUAGGGAUACCCGCUGAACUUAAGC
This 314-nucleotide unclassified non-coding RNA is filed under the name plant metagenome. RNAcentral's name for it is "partial contains 5.8S ribosomal RNA, internal transcribed spacer 2, and large subunit ribosomal RNA". The stretch from base 1 to 105 matches the Rfam family "5.8S ribosomal RNA", at positions 50 to 154 of the family's 154-position model. The record is from RNAcentral.